CCCGGUGAGACUCCGGGACGGUCGCGCCACCGUGAGCGAACGGGCCUCUCUCCGCGGGCGCCGGUCGUGAGUCGGA
Molecule: non-coding RNA, 76 nt
Filed under: Rhodococcus sp. (in: high G+C Gram-positive bacteria)
Lineage: Bacteria; Bacillati; Actinomycetota; Actinomycetes; Mycobacteriales; Nocardiaceae
Source: RNAcentral